RNAcentral lists this ribosomal RNA (254 nucleotides) under uncultured bacterium. Its description in RNAcentral is "partial 16S ribosomal RNA". It matches the Rfam family "Bacterial small subunit ribosomal RNA", at positions 524 to 776 of the family's 1533-position model. The record is from RNAcentral.
UACGUAGGGGGCUAGCGUUGUCCGGAAUCAUUGGGCGUAAAGCGCGUGUAGGCGGUCCGGUAAGUCCGCUGUGAAAGUCGGGGGCUCAACCCUCGGAUGCCGGUGGAUACUGUCGGGCUUGAGUACGGAAGAGGCGAGUGGAAUUCCUGGUGUAGCGGUGAAAUGCGCAGAUAUCGAGAGGAACACCUGAGGUGAAGACGGGUUGCUGGGCCGACACUGACGCUGAGUGCGCGAAAGCCAGGGGAGCAAACGGG